GUGAUAAUAUGAUGUCAUAAUGUUCUACAUUGUGAUGUCAUAUUAUAUAUU
Ciona intestinalis (vase tunicate) is the source of this 51-nucleotide microRNA precursor. NCBI's taxonomy places the organism in Eukaryota, Metazoa, Chordata, Ascidiacea, Phlebobranchia, Cionidae. The record is from Ensembl.